RNAcentral lists this ribosomal RNA (497 nucleotides) under uncultured bacterium. RNAcentral describes it as "partial 16S ribosomal RNA". It matches the Rfam family "Bacterial small subunit ribosomal RNA", at positions 28 to 507 of the family's 1533-position model. The record is from RNAcentral.
GAUGAACGCUGGCGGCGUGCCUAAUACAUGCAAGUCGAGCGAACAGACGAGGAGCUUGCUCCUCUGACGUUAGCGGCGGACGGGUGAGUAACACGUGGAUAACCUACCUAUAAGACUGGGAUAACUUCGGGAAACCGGAGCUAAUACCGGAUAAUAUAUUGAACCGCAUGGUUCAAUAGUGAAAGACGGUUUUGCUGUCACUUAUAGAUGGAUCCGCGCCGCAUUAGCUAGUUGGUAAGGUAACGGCUUACCAAGGCAACGACGCGUAGCCGCCCUGAGAGGGUGGUCGGCCAGACUGGAACUGAGACACGGUCCAGACUCCUACGGGAGGCAGCAGUAGGGAAUCUUCCGCGAUGGGCGAAAGCCUGACGGAGCAACGCCGCGUGAGUGAUGAAGGUCUUCGGAUCGUAAAACUCUGUUAUUAGGGAAGAACAAAUGUGUAAGUAACUAUGCACGUCUUGACGGUACCUAAUCAGAAAGCCACGGCUAACUACGUG